This 503-nucleotide ribosomal RNA is filed under the name uncultured Clostridiaceae bacterium. RNAcentral's name for it is "bacterial SSU rRNA". It matches the Rfam family "Bacterial small subunit ribosomal RNA", at positions 1 to 523 of the family's 1533-position model. The record is from RNAcentral. Lineage: Bacteria; Bacillati; Bacillota; Clostridia; Eubacteriales; Clostridiaceae.
CCUUGAGUUUGAUCAUGGCUCAGGACGAACGCUGGCGGCGUGCUUAACACAUGCAAGUCGAGCGGACUUUGAGAGCUUGCUCUCAAAGUUAGCGGCGGACGGGUGAGUAACACGUGGGUAAUCUGCCCUCAAGUGGGGAAUAACACAAAGAAAUUUGUGCUAAUACCGCAUAAAGUAUCUGAAUCGCAUGGUUCGGAUAAAAAAGAUUUAUCGCUUGAGGAUGAGCCCGCGGCCCAUUAGCUAGUUGGUGAGGUAACGGCCCACCAAGGCCACGAUGGGUAGCCGACCUGAGAGGGUGAUCGGCCACAUUGGAACUGAGACACGGUCCAGACUCCUACGGGAGGCAGCAGUGGGGAAUAUUGCACAAUGGGGGAAACCCUGAUGCAGCAACGUUUUGUUAGCGACGAAGGCCUUCGGGUUGUAAAGCUCUGUCUUCGCUGACGAACUAAUGACGGUAAGCGAGGAGGAAGCCACGGCUAACUACGUGCCAGCAGCCGCGGUAA